Molecule: transfer RNA, 72 nt
Filed under: Capra hircus (goat)
Lineage: Eukaryota; Metazoa; Chordata; Mammalia; Artiodactyla; Bovidae
Also listed under: 1 other name
Rfam family: tRNA
About the family: Transfer RNA (tRNA) molecules are approximately 80 nucleotides in length. Their secondary structure includes four short double-helical elements and three loops (D, anti-codon, and T loops). Further hydrogen bonds mediate the characteristic L-shaped molecular structure. tRNAs have two regions of fundamental functional importance: the anti-codon, which is responsible for specific mRNA codon recognition, and the 3' end, to which the tRNAs corresponding amino acid is attached (by aminoacyl-tRNA synthetases). tRNAs cope with the degeneracy of the genetic code in two manners: having more than one tRNA (with a specific anti-codon) for a particular amino acid; and 'wobble' base-pairing, i.e. permitting non-standard base-pairing at the 3rd anti-codon position.
Source: Rfam by way of RNAcentral
UCCCUGGUGGCUUAGUCUGUAAAGAAUCUGCCUGCAAUGCAGGAGACCUGGGUUCAACCCCUGGCUUGGGAA